CAUUGAUGUGCUACAAGCAUGGCUUAAGUUCUUUACCUGGGAUAAUUUUAUCCUCAGAACAACUUAGGAAGCUCCAGUGAAAAACUUGACAUGCAAAGCAGUGACUUAAGAUCACGCGCUGUGUGUUCCACAAGAGCUGUGUGACAUCCUGGAGCUCUAUGAAACGGGUGGUCACAGUGCCUCAGUUCCUGCACUGUUAAGAAGUCUUGCUCUGCACACUGGCCUCCACGCCUGGCUCAGAACGCACACUGGACUCGUGCUCCUUGUGAUCAAGAAGUAAGCCUCACCUGUGUCCUUCCUCCUCCCAAGCCUGGGCUCCCGAUCAUGGCCCGUUAC
This 336-nucleotide long non-coding RNA is filed under the name Chinchilla lanigera (long-tailed chinchilla). Its description in RNAcentral is "lncRNA (ENSCLAG00000024698.1)". Lineage: Eukaryota; Metazoa; Chordata; Mammalia; Rodentia; Chinchillidae. The record is from RNAcentral.